AGUGGCGAACGGGUGAGUAACGCGUGAGGAACCUGCCUUUCAGUGGGGGACAACAGUUGGAAACGACUGCUAAUACCGCAUGAUACUUUUUGGAGGCAUCUCUGAAAAGUCAAAGCUUUAUGUGCUGAAAGAUGGUCUCGCGUCUGAUUAGCUAGUUGGUGAGGUAACGGCUCACCAAGGCGACGAUCAGUAGCCGGUCUGAGAGGAUGAACGGCCACAUUGGGACUGAGAUACGGCCCAGACUCCUACGGGAGGCAGCAGUGGGGAAUAUUGGGCAAUGGGGGAAACCCUGACCCAGCAACGCCGCGUGAAGGAAGAAGGCCUUCGGGUUGUAAACUUCUUUUACCAGGGACGAAGAACGUGACGGUACCUGGAGAAAAAGCAACGGCUAACUACGUGCCAGCAGCCGCGGUAAUACGUAGGUUGCAAGCGUUAUCCGGAUUUAUUGGGCGUAAAGCGCGUCUAGGCGGUUUGGUAAGUCUGAUGUGAAAAUGCGGGGCUCAACUCCGUAUUGCGUUGGAAACUGCUAAACUAGAGUACUGGAGAGGUAGGCGGAACUACAAGUGUAGAGGUGAAAUUCGUAGAUAUUUGUAGGAAUGCCGAUGGGGAAGCCAGCCUACUGGACAGAUACUGACGCUAAAGCGCGAAAGCGUGGGGAGCAAACAGGAUUAGAUACCCUGGUAGUCCACGCUGUAAACGAUGAGUACUAGGUGUCGGAGGUUACCCCCUUCGGUGCCGCAGCUAACGCAUUAAGUACUCCGCCUGGGGAGUACGCACGCAAGUGUGGAACUCAAAGGAAUUGACGGGGACCCGCACAAGUAGCGGAGCAUGUGGUUUAAUUCGAAGCAACGCGAAGAACCUUACCUAGGCUUGACAUCCUUCUGACCGAGGACUAAUCUCCUCUUUCCCUCCGGGGACAGAAGUGACAGGUGGUGCAUGGUUGUCGUCAGCUCGUGUCGUGAGAUGUUGGGUUAAGUCCCGCAACGAGCGCAACCCUUGUCUUUAGUUGCCAUCAUUUAGUUGGGCACUCUGGAGAGACUGCCAGGGAUAACCUGGAGGAAGGUGGGGAUGACGUCAAAUCAUCAUGCCCCUUAUGCCUAGGGCUACACACGUGCUACAAUGGGUGGUACAGAGGGCAGCUAAGCCGUGAGGUGGAGCAAAUCCCUUAAAGCCAUUCUCAGUUCGGAUUGUAGGCUGAAACUCGCCUACAUGAAGCUGGAGUUACUAGUAAUCGCAGAUCAGAAUGCUGCGGUGAAUGCGUUCCCGGGUCUUGUACACACCGCCCGUCA
RNAcentral lists this ribosomal RNA (1289 nucleotides) under uncultured bacterium. RNAcentral describes it as "partial 16S ribosomal RNA". It matches the Rfam family "Bacterial small subunit ribosomal RNA", at positions 94 to 1399 of the family's 1533-position model. The record is from RNAcentral.